This 556-nucleotide ribosomal RNA is filed under the name uncultured bacterium. RNAcentral describes it as "partial 16S ribosomal RNA". It matches the Rfam family "Bacterial small subunit ribosomal RNA", at positions 355 to 903 of the family's 1533-position model. The record is from RNAcentral.
UAGGGAAUCUUCCACAAUGGACGCAAGUCUGAUGGAGCAACGCCGCGUGAGUGAAGAAGGUUUUCGGACCGUAAAGCUCUGUUGUUGGUGAAGAAGGAUAGAGGUAGUAACUGGCCUUUAUUUGACGGUAAUCAACCAGAAAGUCACGGCUAACUACGUGCCAGCAGCCGCGGUAAUCGUAGGUGGCAAGCGUUGUCCGGAUUUAUUGGGCGUAAAGCGAGCGCAGGCGGAAGAAUAAGUCUGAUGUGAAAGCCCUCGGCUUAACCGAGGAAUUGCAUCGGAAACUGUUUUCUUGAGUGCAGAAGAGGAGAGUAGAACUCCAUGUGUAGCGGUGGAAUGCGUAGAUAUAUGGAAGAAUACCAGUGGCGAAGGCGGCUCUCUGGUCUGCAACUGACGCUGAGGCUCGAAAGCAUGGGUAGCGAACAGGAUUAGAUACCCUGGUAGUCCAUGCCGUAAACGAUGAGUGCUAAGUGUUGGGAGGCUUCCGCCUCUCAGUGCUGCAGCUAACGCAUUAAGCACUCCGCCUGGGGGAGUACGACCGCAAGGUUGAAACUCA